RNAcentral lists this long non-coding RNA (1040 nucleotides) under Sus scrofa (pig). RNAcentral describes it as "lncRNA (ENSSSCG00030055943.1)". The record is from RNAcentral. Lineage: Eukaryota; Metazoa; Chordata; Mammalia; Artiodactyla; Suidae.
GGAGCCGGGGGACUGGAGGGGUCUGGGCGAAGGGGGUCACGGCCUGGGGGACGCAGCGGGCAGUCCUCGGAGUCCAGGACUGCCGGCACCUGCUGAGCGCGGCUUGAAGACCCCUGACGGUACGGCGUUGCGGCGCCAAGGGCUGUGUCCCGCUCUCGGGUUCCCGCCGGAGAGGGUGGGAACCCCCUUCCAGGCCCCCCACCCCUUGUUUCUCUCCUCCUCUGUUUAGCCCAGAACCGAGCUGAGGACGAGAGGGAACCAUCUGCAAAAAAAGAACCCCAAAGCAGGGCGGGUGGCGGGGGCAGAUCCAGACCAGCGGAGACCCCAGCAAGCUGGUUCACUGUGGACCAACUCUGCGCCUGUGCGGGCAUCCCCAGUGCUUCUAGAAUGGGGGCGCCCAAGGAAGAAGGCAGGCUGUGAGAAUCUGGGUACCACCAAGGCGGUCUCAAGGAGAAGCGCGGGGGCUGGGGAACGGGAGGAUUAAAGCCAGCAUCCACGCUGGGAAAGGAGCGGGCACCGCAGAAGGAGGGAAAAAAAAAAAAUCUCCUUGACGCUGUCACCUCCAGGGACCUAAGGUGGCCUCUUGCUCACCUUGGAGAAUAACAAUCUCUGAUGUCUGGCAAUAACAGAAAUGCUUCCAGUGGUCUUCUUUCGUCCAUCCUGACAAUGACCAGGGAAGAUUUCUCACCCACUCUGACAGCCUCCGAGCAAGGUCCCUGCUGGGCAACACUGAUGAAGUCCGUGCCGCGCUGGACCUGAUGGGGAUAAAAUGAUGGUUCUCUUCAAAAACUCUCGUUCAGGGAGUCCCCAUCGUGGCGCAGCGGAAACGAAUCCGACUAGGAACCAUGAGGUUGUGGGUUCGAUCCCUGGCCUCGCUCAGUGGGUUAAGAAUCCAGCGUUGCCGUGAGCUGUGGGGAGCUCAGAUCUGGCGUGGCUGUGGCUGUGGCUGUGGUGCAGGCUGGCAGGUGCAAUUCCAAUUCAACCCUUGGCCUGGGAACUUCAAUAUGCCGUGAGUGCAGCCCUUAAAAAAAAAAAAAAAA